Molecule: ribosomal RNA, 247 nt
Filed under: uncultured archaeon
Lineage: Archaea
Description: partial 16S ribosomal RNA
Rfam family: Archaeal small subunit ribosomal RNA
Source: RNAcentral
CCGACGGUGAGAGACGAAACCCUGGGGCGCAAACCGGAUUAGAUACCCGGGUAGUCCAGGGCGUAAACGCUGCAGGCUUGGUGUUGGGGGCCCUACGUGGGCGCUCAGUGCCGGAGUGAAGGUGUUAAGCCUGCCGCUUGGGGAGUAUGUCCGCAAGGAUGAAACUUAAAGGAAUUGGCGGGAGAGCACAGCAACGGGAGGAGCGUGCGGUUCAAUUGGAUUCAACGCCGUAAAACUCACCGGGAGC